This 69-nucleotide transfer RNA is filed under the name Chionis minor (black-faced sheathbill). It matches the Rfam family "tRNA". From Rfam's summary of the family: Transfer RNA (tRNA) molecules are approximately 80 nucleotides in length. RNAcentral also lists the same sequence under 1 other name. The record is from Rfam by way of RNAcentral. Lineage: Eukaryota; Metazoa; Chordata; Aves; Charadriiformes; Chionidae.
AAGGUCCUAGCUUAAUUAAAGCAUUUGAGUUGCAUUCAGAAGAUGCAGGUUAGUGUCCUGCGGGUCUUA